This 68-nucleotide non-coding RNA is filed under the name Thraustochytrium sp. LLF1b. The record is from RNAcentral. Lineage: Eukaryota; Bigyra; Thraustochytrida; Thraustochytriidae.
UUUUUUUUUUUUUUUUUUUUUUUUUUCUCUAUUCUUUUUUCCUAAAGUUGUCAUAAGAUAUAAAAUCG